Heterocephalus glaber (naked mole-rat) is the source of this 4543-nucleotide long non-coding RNA. Lineage: Eukaryota; Metazoa; Chordata; Mammalia; Rodentia; Bathyergidae. The record is from Ensembl.
CUGGAGUUGCAGUCCCGCGUGGCUGAGGGGCCGGGCCGCGGGGCCGCCGGGGAGUUACACCAGUGCGUGGCUGAGGCACGGAAGACAGAGAUGAUUCCGGGGUGGCUCCUUUGAACCGCUGCCUACUGGGCUUCAGCAGAGAGAACAGACCCACCCUAGAGGAGCAGCACUCACCUUUAGGUGAGCAAGGAGACAUGUGCCAGAAGAGCACCAUCCCUGCCUCACCUGAGAGCAGACCUGUGCCAGAGGAGCAGUGUCUGACCCUACAUGAGCAAGCACACCUGCUCCAGAGGAGUGGCUCUCACCAGCAGGGGAGCAAGAAGUCCUGUAUUGGUCAAGCAGCACCCCUCCCUGGGGGAGCAUGUCACAAGGAAUCAGGAGGCAAGGAACAACCAACCAACCUGAUCCUGGACAGCACAAUACCAGAGAGAGAAGGGAACCACCAGAUUCUCUGACAAAGGACAUUAAAUCUAACAGCCCACAUGAACCCCUGGCCUGUGGCCUAUACCUGGCAGAGACAAGUGGGCUGAAAACUAGUAUGGAGAUUCCUCACAAAACUGAAACUAGAAAUUCUACUUGAUCCAGCUAUUCCCCUUCCAAAUAUCUUCACAAAAGAGUUAAAGACAUUACAGUGAUCCAUGCAGACCCAUGUAUAUAGCAACACAAUUCAUAAUAGCUAAACAUUGGAAGCAGCCCAUAUGUCCAUCAACAGAAGAAUAGAUAAAUUAAGUGUGGUUUUUAAACACAAUUGAGUACUACUCUACCAUAAGGAAUGAUAAACUUGAGUCAUUUGUAAAAAGAAAUUAAAGCAUCUUGAGACCAUAAUGUUCAGUGAAAUAAAUCAGACACAUAAGCUUAAAUAUCACAUGGAGGUUUUUUUUGUAUGAGAAACCCAAAGUAUAGAUAAAGAGCAAAAUAAAGAUAGAUGAUAGGAAGAAGAGGGAUAAAUCUUUCUAAACAGGGAAAAGAUCAAAAGGUGGAGAGGGUGGGGGUGGGAGGAGAGGGAAAGGGGAUGAUACAAAGGAAGUGUAAGAUGUGUUAUGUACCCGUACCAAUUGCUCCCCAGGUCUGUAAACUUUAUGUAUUACCAACAUGUACUAAUGAAAAUAAAUAAUAAACCAAAGGUAAAUACAAACCUUGAGACCCAUUCUGGAAAGAGCAGGCUGAUGUGGGUGAGAGAACAGAGAUGGAAAGAAAAAAAACUAACCAAAGGCUUAGAUUGUGAAGAUGCUUAUUUUUUCUGCUAUUUUGUGGAUGGAAAAGUUUUCUGGUGCCCUCUUGAGUUAUUGUCUCUAAUUGAUUACUUCCAGAAACAUAUGAUUUAAUUUUUAUUUAUUAUAAUAGUAAAACAUAAAGCCACAAAAAGCCAAAAGUAACAAGAAUGUCAAAAGUGUCUCCAUAUCACCUCCAGGUGUUGUCAUAUUCCCAUCCUCCCCCUCUGUGAUUCUCUUGCUUUGCUUUGUUUUGUUGCUUAGUUUGGCAAAUGCAAGACUAAGGCAUGAAGCACCACCCUCAACUCCAUCCUCCAGGUGUUUCUUAAGCAUCCGCAUAUUGGGGAAGACCUGGUCGCAGCCCAUGCACCUAAAGCCACUGUACAGGUCCUCCAGCCCUGAAUCCCAGGCCAGAUUCUCAGCCUCUUCCCUUUCCUCUUGGCCUUCCCCGUGCAGGCCAUUUUCACUGUCAGUUAGGACGUCUCUUAGGCACACAGAAGAGAGGCUGGCUUUUGAAGGGAUCUUCUCAGGAAAGGUCAUUCUUGCUAUUCUUGUCAUCUUUGCGGGGGGCUCCAAAUCAUCUUCUGUAUCCCCCAAGGAAGCCGUACCCCUUUUCAUUGGGACAGGCUUAUAGUAGACAUUCAGGACUCUUUUCUUUUCAGUAGAUGUUGCAGACUCUAAGGGGUUAUUGGCCAAGGAGGAAGGUAAAUGAGAAUGUGCCAUGGAGGAGAAAGUCUCCUUCUCCAUCAAAUCUUGAUUUAAAAGCCUCUUGCAGGAUUCAGGACCUGGAACAUAUUGAGGUAGUAUGUUGGUAUUUGGAAAAGAAAGCUUAUCAAAAAUAAUGAGAUAAGAUGGCCAUGAAAAUGUCCUGGGGUGGGGUCAUAUUUUGUGUGUGGUUUGUGUCAUGUAAUGUACAUACUUUGUAAUCCUAUGUGAAAAAUGAGUUGUGUAAGGCAACUACUAUAAAUUAUAUAUGUACAUACACACCCGUAUAUAGACAUGUAUGUGUAUGUGUGUAUACAUAUACAGAGUCUGCCAAAAAAUGUAUACACACUUCAGGAAAAGAAAAAUAGUAUGUUUUUCAAGUACCCAAAUAUGGGGCACCAUUGAGGAUGCUGUAGAUUUCAGGAAAUCCACUACAUUGUCAGCUCUUAGGGAAGAAAUUGAAAACAAGUAUGUAGCAAUCUCAAUGACCAAGGUCACCCAAGCAGCAGUUCACCGCUAAUGGGCUCAACUUUGAGCACCUCUUGUAAUUGUAGUGCCCAAAGAUAACUUGCAUUAAUCUCAUUAUAUCUCAAUAAAUGCAGUAUUAAAAUAUUUAUACAAGUUUUUCUUUUCCUGAAGUGUGUAUACAUUUUUGGGGCGGAAUCUGUGCAUGUAUGUAUACGUACAUAUAUUCUGGUAUACCUUUGGUGACUGUCUGGUACUGGCAAAAGCAGAUAGUGAUGUGUCUGUGUGUGUGUGUGUGUGUGUGUGUGUGUGUGUGUGUGUGUGUCUGAUACUGUGUGAGAUAGCACAUGUGAUUUCACUGUGAAUAUUGGUAGAUGGUGUGACAAUAGCCUUACAUGUUGGAGGAAGUGUUUAUGACCUCAGCACAUGCAGCUCUGUGAAGGGCUGAAGGCGAGGUGGAAGAAGUGACUUUUGUGUGAGAACAUAUACAUAUUAGAAGGGCACAAGAGUUUUCUAGUAUUUUGUCUACUAGUAGCAUUAUGAAAUUAAAACAGGUUAUCCAUGUGAGGUAAUAGUUUAUCUGUGUGAGGUGAUAUGAAGUUAUUUACAGGAUUAAGGUGUAAAAUGGUGGGUGAGUCUGAGAAUGACUUCUGGAAUGUGAGCAUAAGGCUGUACCUAUGUAACACUGAUACUGGGAAAAUAGGGAGAGAGGAGAUAUUUAUGAGAAAGAUAAAAAGGAGGAGAAAUGGUCUGUAUUUAGUACAAAGGAGUGUGACAUGUGAGUGUGAGGUGAGUUUAUACAGUGAUCUGAGGGGGAAGACUCUGCUUCCACCUCCUGCACAUCACAUAGGCCACUGCCUCACCCACAGUGGCCGCAGUGUUCACAUGAAAAUGUGUGCUGAGGAACUCUGUCCUCCUCUAGAAGGCAGAUUUCCUAUCUGCCCCUCCUCAGAGGAGUCAGUGUUCAUCCCUCUUCCCUGAAGACCUUUCGUGAAUGCACUCACUUGAAGAAGAGACGCACGACAAAUGUUCUGAGACUGAGAAAUUCUCUCCUGCAUCCAGAUUUGAACUUGGGACCAUCUCAUGUGUCUCAGUGGUAUCCUCUGGAGAGUUGUGCAGUUCUGAAGUGGAAGAAAACAGCAGCAACAAAGUUAUUGAUACAUAGCAUAGUCUGGGUCUGUGUCAUUUUAAAACAUAUAUGGAGUAGAUAUUUUGUUUCUGCCAUUGUUACCACCCAUGGUAAUUCCUCACACAAAAUUAAAGAGAACUUAUUAAAAUUAUGUAUGUGGUGGGUAUCACUGGGAUUGGGUAUCUUCUAUAUAUUUUUAGAGAUGUAUACAGGAUAUUGGGAACUCAAAUAUGUUUAAAAUAUGAUAUACAUUCACUAGUGGUUAGAUAUUAUUACUAUUGCUAUUUUUAUUGGCUCAAUUUCCUGGUAAUAAAUUGUGCCAGUGAAAGCUGUGGAGUAUAAGUUUCAUGAGGAAUUGUGAAUGUUGACUCAUUUAUUUUGGUGAAUGUAGAGUCAUAUACAUGGAAGGGUUGAUGUGAAUAUGAAUAAAAGAUGGACCUGCAUGCAAAGAUACAAACUGUUAGAUGGUUCUCUAGGAACUGGGCAUGGCACAGCUAAGCAUUCAAAUGAAGACUUUACAGACUUGAUCCCAAUUCGUCUUUCAGAAAUGUGCUUCCACAUUUCUAUUGGAUCUUUAACCUUCUGAUAUAGGAGGUAGAAUGUGGCAAACUGACUAGAGAAGUGGGAGGGACCUGUAAAUCACAAGACUCCAGGGCAGUGCCAGAUGAUUCCUGGACCCCAUAUGUAGAACUUCCUAUGAGCUCCACAAGAUAUGGACAUCAUGAGGAAGACCAGAAACCGGGAGGAGCUCGCUAUCUUUACUCUUCACAGUAGCCCACCCUGGGUUUCCCAAACCCAGGGUGUAUUUUUAAUUUUUGCUCUUUUUACCUUUUCUUUUUUUUGGCUCAAGUUUGCUCUACAGAGCUAGUUUUUCCCUUACCCCUUCACCCUUCAUUUUUCAAAUAAAUUUUUGGGAGAUAGAAAAAUGAACAUGGUGAGUUUUGGAAACAGAACCUGGGCAGUUUUGGAGAAAAGGGGUCAUUUAUUCAGUUGUUGAACAAACAGGGUCUGCUCCACCUCUGUUCCACCUCAG